CCUACGGGAGGCAGCAGUAAGGAAUAUUGGUCAAUGGACGAAAGUCUGAACCAGCCAUGCCGCGUGAAGGAUGACGGCCCUCUGGGUUGUAAACUUCUUUUAUAGGGGACGAAAAAAGGGUAUUCUUACUCACUUGACGGUACCCUAGGAAUAAGCACCGGCUAACUCCGUGCCAGCAGCCGCGGUAAUACGGAGGGUGCAAGCGUUAUCCGGAUUCACUGGGUUUAAAGGGUGCGUAGGUGGGUCUAUAAGUCAGUGGUGAAAUCUCCGAGCUUAACUCGGAAACUGCCAUUGAUACUAUAGGCCUUGAAUUAUCUGGAGGUAAGCGGAAUAUGUCAUGUAGCGGUGAAAUGCUUAGAUAUGACAUAGAACACCAAUUGCGAAGGCAGCUUACUACGGAUAUAUUGACACUGAGGCACGAAAGCGUGGGGAUCAAACAGGAUUAGAUACCCUGGUAGUCCACGCCCUAAACUAUGGAUACUCGACAUCAGCGAUACACUGUUGGUGUCUGAGCGAAAGCAUUAAGUAUCCCACCUGGGAAGUACGACCGCAAGGUUGAAAACUCAAAAGGAAAUUGACGGCNGAGAGNGCGAGACGACACGAGGAGGAGG
Molecule: ribosomal RNA, 611 nt
Filed under: uncultured bacterium
Lineage: Bacteria
Description: bacterial SSU rRNA
Rfam family: Bacterial small subunit ribosomal RNA
Source: RNAcentral